RNAcentral lists this ribosomal RNA (497 nucleotides) under uncultured bacterium. RNAcentral's name for it is "partial 16S ribosomal RNA". It matches the Rfam family "Bacterial small subunit ribosomal RNA", at positions 28 to 507 of the family's 1533-position model. The record is from RNAcentral.
GAUGAACGCUGGCGGCGUGCCUAAUACAUGCAAGUCGAGCGAACAGACGAGGAGCUUGCUCCUCUGACGUUAGCGGCGGACGGGUGAGUAACACGUGGAUAACCUACCUAUAAGACUGGGAUAACUUCGGGAAACCGGAGCUAAUACCGGAUAAUAUAUUGAACCGCAUGGUUCAAUAGUGAAAGACGGUUUUGCUGUCACUUAUAGAUGGAUCCGCGCCGCAUUAGCUAGUUGGUAAGGUAACGGCUUACCAAGGCAACGAUGCGUAGCCGACCUGAGAGGGUGAUCGGCCACCCUGGAACUGAGCCACGGUCCAGACUCCUACGGGAGGCAGCAGUAGGGAAUCUUCCGCAAUGGGCGAAAGCCUGACGGAGCAACGCCGAGUGAGUGAUGAAGGUCUUCGGAUCGUAAAACUCUGUUAUUAGGGAAGAACAAAUGUGUAAGUAAAUAUGCACGUCUUGACGGUACCUAAUCAGAAAGCCACGGCUAACUACGUG